This 387-nucleotide unclassified non-coding RNA is filed under the name soil metagenome. RNAcentral describes it as "partial contains 5.8S ribosomal RNA, internal transcribed spacer 2, and large subunit ribosomal RNA". The stretch from base 1 to 120 matches the Rfam family "5.8S ribosomal RNA", at positions 35 to 154 of the family's 154-position model. The record is from RNAcentral.
GAUGAAGAACGUAGCGAAAUGCGAUAAGUAAUGUGAAUUGCAGAAUUCAGUGAAUCAUCGAAUCUUUGAACGCACAUUGCGCCCAUUAGUAUUCUAGUGGGCAUGCCUGUUCGAGCGUCAUUAAGUCCACUUAAGCCCUGCUUAGUGUUGGGAAUCUACUCUAGUGGUGCUACCCUGGAGCUACCCCUGAAAGGGGGCUGGCCCGGUAGCUACCCUGUAGUUCCUCAAAGAUAGUGCGCGGAGUUGCGUGGUCCUCUGAGCUUAGUAACUAUACACCUAGCUUUUGAGUGUCCCGCGGCGCCUGCCGUUUAAACCCCAUCUUUUAAUGGUUGACCUCGGAUCAGGUAGGAAUACCCGCUGAACUUAAGCAUAUCAAUAAGCGGAGGA